UCCGUUAUGGUGUAGUGGCUAACAUUAUCGCCUCUCAUUCUGCUGAUCCUCUCCGUCUGAACGCGAUAGCUCAGGGUUCGAAUCCCUGCAACGAAA
Molecule: non-coding RNA, 96 nt
Organism: Paramarasmius palmivorus
Lineage: Eukaryota; Fungi; Basidiomycota; Agaricomycetes; Agaricales; Marasmiaceae
Source: the annotation of a GenBank genome assembly